RNAcentral lists this ribosomal RNA (1284 nucleotides) under Escherichia coli. RNAcentral's name for it is "partial 23S ribosomal RNA". It matches the Rfam family "Bacterial large subunit ribosomal RNA", at positions 158 to 1487 of the family's 2925-position model. The record is from RNAcentral. Lineage: Bacteria; Pseudomonadati; Pseudomonadota; Gammaproteobacteria; Enterobacterales; Enterobacteriaceae.
CUGAAUCCAUAGGUUAAUGAGGCGAACCGGGGGAACUGAAACAUCUAAGUACCCCGAGGAAAAGAAAUCAACCGAGAUUCCCCCAGUAGCGGCGAGCGAACGGGGAGGAGCCCAGAGCCUGAAUCAGUGUGUGUGUUAGUGGAAGCGUCUGGAAAGGCGCGCGAUACAGGGUGACAGCCCCGUACACAAAAAUGCACAUACUGUGAGCUCGAUGAGUAGGGCGGGACACGUGGUAUCCUGUCUGAAUAUGGGGGGACCAUCCUCCAAGGCUAAAUACUCCUGACUGACCGAUAGUGAACCAGUACCGUGAGGGAAAGGCGAAAAGAACCCCGGCGAGGGGAGUGAAAAAGAACCUGAAACCGUGUACGUACAAGCAGUGGGAGCCUCUUAAUGGGGUGACUGCGUACCUUUUGUAUAAUGGGUCAGCGACUUAUAUUCUGUAGCAAGGUUAACCGAAUAGGGGAGCCGAAGGGAAACCGAGUCUUAACUGGGCGUUAAGUUGCAGGGUAUAGACCCGAAACCCGGUGAUCUAGCCAUGGGCAGGUUGAAGGUUGGGUAACACUAACUGGAGGACCGAACCGACUAAUGUUGAAAAAUUAGCGGAUGACUUGUGGCUGGGGGUGAAAGGCCAAUCAAACCGGGAGAUAGCUGGUUCUCCCCGAAAGCUAUUUAGGUAGCGCCUCGUGAAUUCAUCUCCGGGGGUAGAGCACUGUUUCGGCAAGGGGGUCAUCCCGACUUACCAACCCGAUGCAAACUGCGAAUACCGGAGAAUGUUAUCACGGGAGACACACGGCGGGUGCUAACGUCCGUCGUGAAGAGGGAAACAACCCAGACCGCCAGCUAAGGUCCCAAAGUCAUGGUUAAGUGGGAAACGAUGUGGGAAGGCCCAGACAGCCAGGAUGUUGGCUUAGAAGCAGCCAUCAUUUAAAGAAAGCGUAAUAGCUCACUGGUCGAGUCGGCCUGCGCGGAAGAUGUAACGGGGCUAAACCAUGCACCGAAGCUGCGGCAGCGACACUAUGUGUUGUUGGGUAGGGGAGCGUUCUGUAAGCCUGUGAAGGUGUACUGUGAGGUAUGCUGGAGGUAUCAGAAGUGCGAAUGCUGACAUAAGUAACGAUAAAGCGGGUGAAAAGCCCGCUCGCCGGAAGACCAAGGGUUCCUGUCCAACGUUAAUCGGGGCAGGGUGAGUCGACCCCUAAGGCGAGGCCGAAAGGCGUAGUCGAUGGGAAACAGGUUAAUAUUCCUGUACUUGGUGUUACUGCGAAGGGGGGACGGAGAAGGCUAUGU